RNAcentral lists this ribosomal RNA (254 nucleotides) under uncultured bacterium. RNAcentral's name for it is "partial 16S ribosomal RNA". It matches the Rfam family "Bacterial small subunit ribosomal RNA", at positions 524 to 776 of the family's 1533-position model. The record is from RNAcentral.
GACGGAGGAUGCAAGUGUUAUCCGGAAUCACUGGGCGUAAAGCGUCUGUAGGUGGUUACAUAAGUCAACUGUUAAAUCUUGAGGCUCAACUCAAAAUCGCAGUCGAAACUAUUAGCUAGAGUAUAGUAGGGGUAAAGGGAAUUUCCAGUGGAGCGGUGAAAUGCGUAGAGAUUGGAAAGAACACCAAUGGCGAAAGGCACUUUACUGGGCUAUUACUGACACUGAGAGACGGAAAAGCUAGGGUAGCAAAUGGG